RNAcentral lists this ribosomal RNA (722 nucleotides) under uncultured bacterium. Its description in RNAcentral is "bacterial SSU rRNA". It matches the Rfam family "Bacterial small subunit ribosomal RNA", at positions 789 to 1515 of the family's 1533-position model. The record is from RNAcentral.
GGCAGUCUCGGCCCUAAACGAUGAUCACUAGGUGUCGGGGGGUUUCCCUCGGUGCCGCAGCUAACGCAUUAAGUGAUCCGCCUGGGGACUACGGCCGCAAGGUUGAAACUCAAAGGAAUUGGCGGGGGCCCGCACAAGCGGUGGAGCAUGUGGCUUAAUUCGAUGCAACGCGAAGAACCUUACCCAGGCUUGACAUGUAUCUGCAAGCUCCCGAAACGGAGUCGCCUUCGAGGGUGAUACACAGGUGGUGCAUGGCUGUCGUCAGCUCGUGUUGUGAAAUGUUGGGUUAAGUCCCGCAACGAGCGCAACCCUCACGGUCUGUUACCAGCGGGUAAUGCCGGGGACUCGGACUGAACUGCCUCUGUAAAGAGGAGGAAGGUGGGGAUGACGUCAAGUCAUCAUGCCCCUUACGCCUGGGGCUGCACACAUGCUACAAUGGCCGGUACAAAGGGUUGCUAACUCGCAAGAGGGUGCUAAUCCCAAAAAGCCGGUCUCAGUUCGGAUUGGGGUCUGCAACUCGACCCCAUGAAGCUGGAAUCGCUAGUAAACGCCGGUCAGCCAUACGGCGUUGAAUACGUUCCCGGGCCUUGCACACACCGCCCGUCACGUGACGAAAGUUGGUUUUACCCGAAGUCGGUGCGCUAACCGCAAGGAAGCAGCCGCCGAAGGUAGUGCCGAUGAUUGGCGCGAAGUCGUAACAAGGUAGCCGUAUCGGAAGGUGC